This 73-nucleotide microRNA precursor is filed under the name Cajanus cajan (pigeon pea). Its description in RNAcentral is "miRNA gene-KK1_044654". Lineage: Eukaryota; Viridiplantae; Streptophyta; Magnoliopsida; Fabales; Fabaceae. The record is from RNAcentral.
UUUAAAAUCGGUUAUUAAAUAACCGAUUUUGUAUACUACAUACAAAAUCAGUUCUUUAAGAACCGAUUUUAAA